ACAAUAGGCAUUUCUUUUUAAAUAGAUGGGAUAUAAACAUCCACUCAAGGUGCAGUCAAACAAUGAACAGAAUGUUGGGGAUCAUUAAGAAAGGGACAGAGAACAAGACAGAAAGAUGAUAAAAAAGAAAAGAACCUAACUGACUUCCUGUUCUACAAAGCCAUGCAGAAUUCUGGGAUAUGAGAACCUGCAAGGCAGAUAUGAACCAUUAAAGAAAUAGGAUUUCAACAGGCAGGGAAAGAACAGGAGUAGGACUUCGUUUAUUUCUGCUCUUGCUGAGUAAGCCUGAGACACCGACCACAGGGAUCAUUUUCUGAUAGUUACAAGCAUCCAAAAGGACUGAACAUCUUGAAAACAAAUAGAAGAUAUACUGGAAGUGAAAUGUACAAUAGUCCAACCGGAGAGAACCUGGUUUUCUCAUGAGCAAUUCUUGGCUGGUAAAUCUACUACUGUUAUUACUGGUUUUUAGAAAGUAUGUACCAAGAUAGAUCUAAGUAGUCAGGUUGGUAGACUAGUCUUAUAACUAAGUUCAGAGAAGAAUAAUGCUAUUCUCUCUCUUGUAAGUCUUUUACUGAAACCACUUGUGUCAUUAAAACAAUGUCAGCCAGGCAUUUGCUACACCAGUAAUAGAUCUAGUCCAACAAUAGAAAAUACCCUUGGAUCAAUCAGAGAGAUCUAUUGAAAAUAUACUGGAAGAAGCAAAGACUUCAGUCCACAAGUUGACUAAUGAAGGUUCUUAUAUUGACUUCUUAAAAGAAGAAGACAAAGUGUUUAAGCCAGCAGAAAAAGUACAGACUUGCAUGAAAAGUCAACUUGCAUUAAUAUCAUUAAUUUAUUGUAAACAUAAUGUUCAAGGGAGGGAAAUAAAAUGCAUUUUUUUUAAAUCUCUGAAAUUGAUCAUGUAAAGAAAGCCGGUUAAGGUGACGUCAUGAGUAGACGAUAUCAGCAACUUCCAAGGCAAAACAGUGUUGUGUAUGUUACUGGAAAGCUGGGAGUAUCCCCAUUUGAAUGCUAUCAAAUAAG
Molecule: non-coding RNA, 1023 nt
Organism: Pelodiscus sinensis (Chinese soft-shelled turtle)
Lineage: Eukaryota; Metazoa; Chordata; Testudines; Trionychidae
Source: RefSeq, a predicted model, not a curated record